This 495-nucleotide ribosomal RNA is filed under the name uncultured bacterium. RNAcentral describes it as "partial 16S ribosomal RNA". It matches the Rfam family "Bacterial small subunit ribosomal RNA", at positions 28 to 507 of the family's 1533-position model. The record is from RNAcentral.
GACGAACGCUGGCGGCGUGCCUAAUACAUGCAAGUAGAACGCUGAAGGAGGAGCUUGCUCUUCUGGAUGAGUUGCGAACGGGUGAGUAACGCGUAGGUAACCUGCCUGGUAGCGGGGGAUAACUAUUGGAAACGAUAGCUAAUACCGCAUAAGAGUAGAUGUUGCAUGACAUUUACUUAAAAGGUGCAAUUGCAUCACUACCAGAUGGACCUGCGUUGUAUUAGCUAGUUGGUGGGGUAACGGCUUACCAAGGCGACGAUACAUAGCCGACCUGAGAGGGUGAUCGGCCACACUGGGACUGAGACACGGCCCAGACUCCUACGGGAGGCAGCAGUAGGGAAUCUUCGGCAAUGGACGGAAGUCUGACAGAGCAACGCCGCGUGAGUGAAGAAGGUUUUCGGAUCGUAAAGCUCUGUUGUAAGAGAAGAACGAGUGUGAGAGUGGAAAGUUCACACUGUGACGGUAUCUUACCAGAAAGGGACGGCUAACUACGUG